GCUGGGUGAGGUGGCACACACCUGUAAUCCCAGUGGCUUGAGAGGCUGAGACAGGAGGAUCGCAGGUUCAAGGCCAGCCUCAGCAACUGCCAGGCGCUAAGCAAUUCAGUGAGACCCUGUCUCUA
This 125-nucleotide small RNA is filed under the name Marmota monax (woodchuck). The record is from RNAcentral. Lineage: Eukaryota; Metazoa; Chordata; Mammalia; Rodentia; Sciuridae.